CGGCGGCAAGACAAUCGAGGUGCCCCUCACGGGGAUAAUCGGGAAGCCGGUGCGAAUCCGGCACAGGCCCGCUGCGGUGACCCGGGAGUCGUCGAUCACGCGCAACACGCGCAGCCACUGGACCGGCCGGUCCGGGAAGGCGAUCGCACGGCGUUCGACCGGGAAGUCCGAAUACCGGCCUCGAUUUCAGCUGCCGA
RNAcentral lists this non-coding RNA (197 nucleotides) under Rhodococcus sp. (in: high G+C Gram-positive bacteria). Lineage: Bacteria; Bacillati; Actinomycetota; Actinomycetes; Mycobacteriales; Nocardiaceae. The record is from RNAcentral.